GGUCAAGCGAAUAAGCGCACACGGUGGAUGCCUUGGCGGUCAGAGGCGAUGAAGGACGUGGCAGCCUGCGAAAAGUAUCGGGGAGCUGGCAACAAGCUUUGAUCCGGUAAUGUCCGAAUGGGGAAACCCACCCGCUUGCGGGUAUCCUGCAGUGAAUACAUAGCUGCUGGAAGCGAACCUGGUGAACUGAAAUAUCUAAGUAACCAGAGGAAAAGAAAUCAACCGAGAUUCCGUAAGUAGCGACGAGCGAACGCGGACUAGCCCUUAAGCUGAUUUGGUUCUAGGAAAACGCUCUGGAAAGAGCGGCCAUAGAAGGUGAUAGCCCUGUAUCUGAAAGGGCCAUUUCAGUGAAGACGAGUAGGGCGGGGACGUGAAACCCUGUCUGAACAUGGGGGGACCAUCCUCCAAGGCUAAAUACUACUGACCGACCGAUAGUGAACCAGUACCGUGAGGGAAAGGCGAAAAGAACCCCGGAGGGGAGUGAAAUAGAACCUGAAACCGUGUGCGUACAAGCAGUAGGAGCUCCGCAAGGAGUGACUGCGUACCUUUUGUAUAAUGGGUCAGCGACUUACUGUUCGUGGCAAGCUUAACCGUAUAGGGGAGGCGAAGGGAAACCGAGUCUGAUAAGGGCGCAUAGUCGCGGGCAGUAGACCCGAAACCGGGUGAUCUAGUCAUGCCCAGGGUGAAGGUGCGGUAACACGCACUGGAGGCCCGAACCCACUCCCGUUGCAAAGGUAGGGGAUGAGGUGUGAUUAGGAGUGAAAAGCUAAUCGAACCCGGAGAUAGCUGGUUCUCCUCGAAAGCUAUUUAGGUAGCGCCUCAUAUGUAUCCUCUCGGGGGUAGAGCACUGUUAUGGCUAGGGGGUCAUCGCGACUUACCAAACCAUUGCAAACUCCGAAUACCGAGACGGACUGUAUGGGAGACACACGGCGGGUGCUAACGUCCGUCGUGAAAAGGGAAACAACCCAGACCCACAGCUAAGGUCCCAAAUUUUGUGCUAAGUGGAAAACCAUGUGGAAAGGCACAGACAGCCAGGAGGUUGGCUUAGAAGCAGCCACCCUUUAAAGAAAGCGUAAUAGCUCACUGGUCGAGUCGGUCUGCGGGGAAGAUUAAACGGGGCUAAGCACAGAACCGAAGCUUGGGGUGCAUACUUCGUAUGCGCGGUAGAGGAGCGUUCCGUAAGCCGUUGAAGGUGGAUUGAGAAGUCUGCUGGAGGUAUCGGAAGUGCGAAUGCUGACAUGAGUAACGAUAAUGCGGGUGAAAAACCCGCACGCCGAAAGCCCAAGGUUUCCUUGCGCAACGUUAAUCGGCGCAGGGUGAGUCGGCCCCUAAGGCGAGGACGAAAGUCGUAGUCGAUGGGAAGCAGGUUAAUAUUCCUGCACCUCGCGUAAGUGCGAUGGAGGGACGGAGAAGGUUAGGUGUACCAGGCGUUGGUUGUCCUGGGGAAAGGCGGUAGGUUUGGAUCUUUGGCAAAUCCGGGAUCCUCUAAGACCGAGCACCGAGACGAGCCUUUAUGGCAAAGUCACUGAUACCACGCUUCCAGGAAAAGCUCCUAAGCUUCAGCUUACGCAGACCGUACCGUAAACCGACACAGGUGGGUAGGAUGAGAAUUCUCAGGCGCUUGAGGAACUCGGGUGAAGGAACUAGGCAACAUGGCACCGUAACUUCGGGAGAAGGUGCACCUUUUUGGUGGCUCGUGCGAGCUAUAGCUGAAGAGGGUCGCAGUAACCAGGCCGCUGCGACUGUUUAUCAAAAACACAGCACUCUGCAAACACGAAAGUGGACGUAUAGGGUGUGACGCCUGCCCGGUGCUGGAAGGUUAAUUGAUGGGGUCAGCCGCAAGGCGAAGCUCUUGAUCGAAGCCCCAGUAAACGGCGGCCGUAACUAUAACGGUCCUAAGGUAGCGAAAUUCCUUGUCGGGUAAGUUCCGACCUGCACGAAUGGCGUAACGACAGCGGCGCUGUCUCCACCCGAGACUCAGUGAAAUUGAAAUCGCUGUGAAGAUGCAGCGUUCCCGUGGCAAGACGGAAAGACCCCGUGAACCUUUACUAUAGCUUUACACUGAACGUUGAGUUCGUCUGUGUAGGAUAGGUGGGAGGCUAUGAAACCAUGGCGCUAGCUGUGGCGGAGCCAUCCUUGAAAUACCACCCUGUCGUGCUUGACGUUCUAACCUGGAAAUUUCAUUAUCUGGGUCGGGGACCGUGUAUGGUGGGUAGUUUGACUGGGGCGGUCUCCUCCUAAAGAGUAACGGAGGAGCUCGAAGGUACGCUCAGCGCGGUCGGACAUCGCGCACUGUGUGCAAAGGCAUAAGCGUGCUUGACUGCAAGAUCGACGGAUCAAGCAGGUAGGAAACUAGGACUUAGUGAUCCGGUGGUUCUGUAUGGAAGGGCCAUCGCUCAACGGAUAAAAGGUACUCCGGGGAUAACAGGCUGAUACCGCCCAAGAGUUCAUAUCGACGGCGGUGUUUGGCACCUCGAUGUCGGCUCAUCACAUCCUGGGGCUGUAGUCGGUCCCAAGGGUAUGGCUGUUCGCCAUUUAAAGUGGUACGCGAGCUGGGUUCAGAACGUCGUGAGACAGUUCGGUCCCUAUCUGCCAUGGGCGUUGGAGAUUUGAGAGGGGCUGCUCCUAGUACGAGAGGACCGGAGUGGACGAACCUCUGGUGUUCCGGUUGUCACGCCAGUGGCAUUGCCGGGUAGCUAUGUUCGGAAGCGAUAACCGCUGAAAGCAUCUAAGCGGGAAGCGCGCCUCAAGAUGAGAUCUCCCGCAAGACAAGCCCCUGAAGGAACCAUGUAGACUACGUGGUUGAUAGGUCAGGUGUGUAAGUACAGCAAUGUAUUGAGCUAACUGAUACUAAUGAUCCGUGCGGCUUGACCAU
RNAcentral lists this ribosomal RNA (2875 nucleotides) under Stenotrophomonas maltophilia group sp. msm4. Its description in RNAcentral is "23S ribosomal RNA". It matches the Rfam family "Bacterial large subunit ribosomal RNA". Lineage: Bacteria; Pseudomonadati; Pseudomonadota; Gammaproteobacteria; Lysobacterales; Lysobacteraceae. The record is from RNAcentral.